Ictalurus punctatus (channel catfish) is the source of this 2790-nucleotide long non-coding RNA. Lineage: Eukaryota; Metazoa; Chordata; Actinopteri; Siluriformes; Ictaluridae. The record is from Ensembl.
GGAGACUUUCAGACAUCCUAUAUUGCAGACAUAAACUGAUUCAGUGAUGGCUGGGAAAUGCUAAUAUCCCCAUUUCAUCUGUGCAGUUUAUAAGAAUGCUGAACAUGCACAUGCUUUCUUCACACAACAUGACACACAACAUGCACAUGCUUUCUUCACACAACAUGACACGCAACAUCCACCAUCACAAGAAGUUACAUGGUGCAUCCAUUAAUAUGCCAACUCCAUUGCUCUUUUAAGUCUGAGUAUAAAUACCCCUGCUGAAAAAAAAACAAUAGAACCCAUGACGGAAAUCCUUAUGGUUUCCUCUACAAAUACCAUUACAGACUACCAGCUAAACAUUAAAACUAUUACCAUCACUGGUCCUUAAUGGUGUCCACUAGACAUAACAUGCUACCAAUAGAAGGCAACAGAUACCAAUAGAGACUGUGAGGGAAAUUAUUCAUUUUUACUUUGUAAUAGUUUUGUUCUUGUUCUAUUUCAUUCUCAUCUGAGGAUAACGCCUAAGAAGGCCAUGUCAUGUCACUGAGAUCAGUACAGAAUGUUUAUCUACUUACAGAGACACAAACACGUUCUUCUGUUCAAGGUUCGUCUGUCCAAGACCCUGAAACAAAGCCUGUUUGAACUGCCUCAAACUGCUUCUUAUCGGUACACAGAAAGGAUGAGUCUGCAAGUGUUGUCUAAUUCCACGACAAUUUGGCUUCUCCUGGCUGGGCUGCGUGAGUCUUUCAGCUUUACUGGACAACAAGCAAACCGGAGGACGCUCGUGGAAAAGUUUCAUCCUGAAGUCCAUGUUGACGCAAAGGCGAUUUGUCCUUUAUUGUGCCGAGCGAAAUAUCGCAUUACCCCUGACUGAGGGAGACGGAGAACCACAUGACUGUGUCGUAUUGACCAACGAAUUCUGCUCUCAUAGAGUCGACCUGAAAGCUUUCAGACCUCCAAACACAGGCUACAAGGACAAGGAAAAGGCUGUGUGGCGCAAAGCAGGCUGCAUGGUUGUUGACGGAGUUUGGCGGUGCCCCAAGAGCUGUCCUUGUCUUCAAAGUUGACGCAUGGCAGGGACCAUCUUUACAGUUUGUGCAACUCAUAACAUGGGUUGAGGUUUGAAGGUAGAGAAGGCCACGUCCCUACGUUCAAACAGGACAUGGCACACCUUUUGUGAGCCAUGCCCUUAAGUAGGUGGGUGAAUAUUUGGGUAUUGAAUUAAAGCAGCACUGUGCAUAUCAUCCAGCUAGUGGUGGGGCGGUAGAGAGAGAAAAUGGGACACUAAAAAACAGACUGAGCAAAUGCUGUUCUGAAACAGGCUUAGGAUGGGCUUAGCACCUUUGGGAUACUGUUUGGGAUACCUCCAUACACAGGAAUUGGACCUGUGACAGUUCCUCUUCCUGAUGCUGCAGCAUAUGAUGAUGCAAUGUUAAAUUACUGUGCAACCCUGUCCUCUGCUCUGCACUCUAUCCACAAGCAGGUAAAGGCAGCACUUCCAGCUCCAGCCACGAGUCCGCUGCAUGAUCUGAAGCCUGGAGAGUAGAUCGUGAUCAAGGACUUCCGCAGGACCAGGUGGAACAAGCCACGGUGGUCUGGGCCAUUCCAGGUUCUAUUUGUCACUCAUUCAGCAGUGAAAGUCAACCAGAGAGCCACAUGGAUGUGUGCGAGCCACUGCAGGAGGGUGCCAGAGCCAAGCAUUGAGCUCUGCAUAUACACACCCACAUAACGUCACACGUCCCCUCAUCAUGCAGACACAUAAUGGUUAUUCUAUCAUUGAACACAGGCGGUCUGCGAUACGCAACCCUCCACAGGCUAGCGAGAUGGGGUUUGAUUGGCUGAACUCAGUACUCGGGGGGUGGGGCUCAUGGAUAUUAACCAUCUGUCUACCAAUAGGUGCAAUAAUUCUUCUUGUCUUGCUCAUUUUGCCUUGUAUCGUUUCUCUCGUUCGGAGCAGUCUCUCACACUCGUUGAAAUCACUAAUGACCAAACGCUGAUGUUGACGAAGACUGAGUCUUUGAUGACCAAUCUGACUUGUAUCCUAAACCUGACUGGGUAUCAGAUCCUCCCAGCGACACUGACGAUGACGACCAAUUGACAUCCAUUUCACACCUAUUGUAAAUAUUCCUUUGACCAUGACGAUUCUCAUUUCACUCUAAGAUAAGCUUGCUUGACGACAGGUUACUUUAAAUCCGCAAAAACAGCCUUAGCAGUUUCAUUAUGUCUGUUUCAUGAUGAAUUCAGUUGAACCGUGAAAGGUUUCUGAAGUUCUGAUGUACUCAUAGAAUAGUAAUUUCUCUGUUAAUUUUAGUUAUCAUAUUUUGUAAUGAUAAAAUGGGGGAAAUGUGAGGGAAAUUAUUCAUUUUUACUUUGUAAUAGUUUUGUUCUUGUUCUAUUUCAUUCUCAUCUGAAGAUAACGCAUAAGAAGGCCAUGCCAUGUCACUGAGAUCAGUACAGAAUGCUUAUCUGCUUACAGAGACACAAACAUGUUCUUCUGUUCAAGGUUUGUCUGUCCAAGAUCCUAAAACAAAGCCUGUUUGAACUGCCUCAAACUGCUUCUUAUCGGUACACAGAAUUAUGUCAUGCUCUGCGUUUCAUAUAUAUAGUAGUGGUUUAGUACAAGGGCUUCAGAGCGCUCUCAUUAUUCUAUCCUACUUUAUUCUAUCCUGUAUUAAACAUCUUUCUGUAAUAAACCUUUUUACCUUCAGAGGACGAGUCUGCGAGUGUUGUCUAAUUUCCACGACAAGCCCCACAGGGAUCAUUACAGUUUCCAUUAAAACCAAUACAAUUCCCAUUAUAACCAUUAAA